AUUGCUCAAAGACAAAAAAAAUAUUUUAAGUUUAUUAGACCACAUUCAUUCUGUGUCAGAAACCUAUGCUGUGUCAACUAUUUAAAUCACAAUCCAAAUUUAGAGCUGAAUCCAGCUUGAAUGUUGUGUCCAUACUUGCCCCAACCGUUCAGGGUUCAAUCUAUGCGGUCGUAUAAAGCUGCGCCCUGCGGAGCAUCUGGUU
Molecule: long non-coding RNA, 202 nt
Filed under: Mytilus galloprovincialis (Mediterranean mussel)
Lineage: Eukaryota; Metazoa; Mollusca; Bivalvia; Mytilida; Mytilidae
Source: RNAcentral